CAUUAUUCUGCUUUCAGUUUUAAAACCAGUGAGAUGGGGGGUGGUAAGAAAACAUCCCCACUGCAAGAUGGCAUUGGUAGAGCUGUGAUGGUGACAACCAAGAAGUAACAAGAGUGAUGGCAUUUGAAUCAACUCAGGUCAAGAAAUGUCCAAAAUGUCCAGCACGCUUUUUGAUCUUUAGUGGAAGUGUAACGUGUGAAACACGCUCACUGGCUACGGACACCUUGCCCUGCUCUCACUUCCAGUGGAUGGUGCGGAGAAGGUCACCACAUCUCAGUGAGAAAUACAGAACCGGCUGGUGCUUGGAGAAUGGAUGUGUCUUCCUACGAGGCCUUGUGGCUCUCAUGAGAGUACGGCAUUCAAACUUUUGGGUUCCUUUAAAAAAAAAAAAAGUCAUUAUUAAAUCUCUGCCAAGAUUUAAAAAGUGAAGUGGAUGUAGUGACUUCAUGUUUGAAUGAAAGAGGCAGUUCAUUGGGUGGAGUUAAUGAGGGCAGAGGUGACUCAUGGAGUCCUGAGUUGUGCAUAUAAUUACAGCUCAUUUAGAAAUAAGCACGUAUGUACAUGACCUUUAUUCUCCACCAAAGCUGCACAAACGUCCGCUUCCAUGCUGACACAGACAACCAAUGGAAAGAAAUUCAAACAGCAGGAGCCCGACAUCUGAUCACGUUCCAGGAGAUUAGAUGGCGCUGAGCGGAUGAGGCGUUGAGAAAUACCACGCGUACAUUAAUCACACACCUCGAGAGGUCAAGGUGCCCAACUGACGGCGGCUGGUCUCCACCACUGUGCUGGCUUGGGUUGAUAAUAGUUCUCCAGACUGACACUGCAUCUCUGAACUUCCCUAUUCCUGUCACCAGCUUCCAGCUUCUCGCACGUUCAACCCUUUAGAGGAAACUGCCUCUUCCUUCCCUUCAAUAAUCCCUGAUGCUUGGAUUCUUCUUCAUGGUUCGCAGUCCCCUGUCCCCGAGUCGUGUUAGUCUUUGCCCUUAAAAUCUCAUCCUUGGGGCACCUGGGUGGCUCAGGGGUUGAGGUCUGCCUUCAUCUCAGGGUAUGAUCCUGGGGUCCUGGGAUCGAGUCCCACGUCGGGCUCCCUGCAUGGAGCCUGCUUCUCCCUCUGCCUGUGUCUCUGCCUCUCUCUGUGUGUCUCUCAUGAAUAAAUAAAUAAAAUCUUAAAAAAAAAAUCUCAUCCUCGCCCUUCUCUCCUGUUAUUUCCUAUUUACGUGGAUCCUCUCC
RNAcentral lists this long non-coding RNA (1230 nucleotides) under Canis lupus familiaris (dog). RNAcentral describes it as "lncRNA (ENSCAFG00000046868.2, ENSCAFG00805002937.1)". Lineage: Eukaryota; Metazoa; Chordata; Mammalia; Carnivora; Canidae. The record is from RNAcentral.